CGCGUAGGCGGCUUUAUAAGUCUGGAGUGAAAGUCCUCUUUUCAAGGGAGGAAUUGCUUUGGAAACUAUAGAGCUUGAGUGCAGGAGAGGUUAUCGGAAUUCCCGGUGUAGCGGUGAAAUGCGUAGAGAUAUGGAGGAACACCAGUGGCGAAGGCGGCUUCCUGGUCUGUAACUGACACUGAGGCGCGAAAGCGUGGGGAGCAAACA
Molecule: ribosomal RNA, 207 nt
Filed under: uncultured bacterium
Lineage: Bacteria
Description: partial 16S ribosomal RNA
Rfam family: Bacterial small subunit ribosomal RNA
Source: RNAcentral